RNAcentral lists this ribosomal RNA (3274 nucleotides) under Durio zibethinus. RNAcentral describes it as "eukaryotic LSU rRNA". It matches the Rfam family "Eukaryotic large subunit ribosomal RNA". Lineage: Eukaryota; Viridiplantae; Streptophyta; Magnoliopsida; Malvales; Malvaceae. The record is from RNAcentral.
CGCGACUCCAUGUCAGACGGGAUCACCCGCUGAGUUUAAGCAUAUCAAUAAGCAAAGGAAAAGAAACUUACCAGGAUUCCCCUAGUAACGGCAAGCGAACAGGAAAGAGCCCAGCUUGAGAAUCGAGUGCCCCUGGUGAUCAAAUUGUAGUCUGGAGAAGUGUCCUCAUCAGUAGACCAAGCCUAAGUCCCCUGGAAAGGGGCACCGAAGAGGGUGAGAGCCCCGUUGUGCCCGGACCCUAUCGCACCAUGAGGCGCUGUCUGUGAGUCGGGUUGUUCAAGAAUGCAACCCCAAUCGGGUGGUAAAUUUCAUCCAAGGCUGAAUACGGGUGAGAGAUCGAAGUGAACAAGUACCGUGAGGGAAAGAUGAAAAGGACUUUGAAAAGAGAGUCAAAGAGUGCUUGAAAUUGUCGGGAGGGAAGUGGAUGGGGGCCGGUGAUGCCCUCGGUGGGAUGUGGAACGGUGAGAGCUGAUCCGUCGAUCGGCUCGGGCCGUGGACUGAUGCAGGUCUCGAUGGAGGCCCACGCUCAGGCUUUCGAUGUGCACGCAGAGAUGUCGUCAUCACCAUUGUGGAAUGUAGCAGGCAUCAUCUUCGUAUGCCUUGGCACCCGUGUGCUCCCGAUGUCGGCCUACGGGCUCCCCAUCUGGCCCGUCUUAAAACACGAACCAAGGAGUCUAACAUGCAUGUGAGUUAACAGGCCAAGAAACCCGUAAGGCGUAAAGAAGCUGAUUGGUGAGAUCCCUUACAGGUGCACCGUCGAUCGACCUUGAUCUUCUGAGAAGGGUUCAAGUGCGAGCAUGCUCGUCGGGACCCGAAAGAUGGUGAACUAUGCCUGAGUGGAGCGAAGCUAGAGGAAACUAUGAUGGAGGCCCGCAAUGAUACUGACGUGUAAAUCAUUCGUCUGACUUGGGUAUAGGGGCGAAAGACUAAUCGAACCGUCUAGUAGUUGGUUCCCUCCGAAGUUUCCCUCAGGAUAGUUGGAGCCCUCGACGAGUUCUAUCGGGUAAAGCCAAUGAUUAGAGGCAUUGGGGGUGCAACGCCCUCGACCUAUUCUCAAACUUUAAAUAGGUAGGAUGGCAUGACUGCUAAGUUGAGCCAUGCCACGGAAUCAAGUGCUUCAAGUGGGCCAUUUUUGGUAAGCAGAACUGGCGAUGCGAGAUAAACCAAAAGUCGGGUUACGGUGCCCAAUUGCACACUAACCCAAAACCCACAAAGGGUGUUGGUCGAUUAAGAUAGUAAGACAAUGGUCAUGGAAGUCGAAAUCCAUUAAGGAGUGUGUAAAAACUCAUCUACCAAAUCAACUAGCCUCGAAAAUGGAUGGCGCUUAAGCGCGUGACCUAUACUCGAUCGUCGGAUCAAGGGCUAGGCCCUAAUGAGUAGGAGGGCAUGGCGGUCACUGCAAAACUUAGGGCACGAGCCUGGGGGAAGUGACCGUCGGUGUAGAUCUUGGUGGUAGUAGCAAAUAUUCAAAUGAGAACUUUGAAAGCCGAAGAGGGGAAAGGUUCCAUGUGAAUGGCACUUGCACAUGGGUUAGUCGAUCCUAGGAGAUGGGGAAAGCUCGUCCGAUAGUGCAUCCCACGCUAGCUUCGAAAGAAAAUCGGGUUAAAAUUUGUGAACCAGGACGUGGUGGCUGAAGGCAAUGUUAGGGAGUUUGGAGACAUCAAUGGGGGCAUUAGGAAGAGUUAUAUUUUCUGUUUAACGGCUCACCCACCCUGGAAACGGCUCAGUCAGAGGUAGGGUCCAGCGGUCAAAAGAGCAUCACACGUCACGUUGUGUCCAGUGCAACCCUGACGGCCCUUAAAAAUCCAGAGGACUGAGUGCCAUCAGUGCUCAGUCAUACUCAUAACCGCAUCAAGUCUCCAAGGUGAACAGCCUCUGGUCGAUGGAACAAUGUAGUCAAGGGAAGUCAACAAAAUGGAUCCAUAACCUCAGGAAAAAGAUUGGCUCUGAGGGUUGGGCACAAGGGUCCCAGUCCCGAACCCAUCGACUAUCGGUGCACUACUCAAACUACUCCUGUGAUGAGAGCGGGUCAUCGCAUGCCGAUCGGGGGACGAACUAGGAACGGCACCCUCUGAGGCCUUCAUCGAAUGACGAAUAGUCGACUCAGAACUAGUACGGACAAGGGGAAUCUGACUAUUUAAUUAAAACAAAGCAUUGUGAUGGUCCCUGUCGAUGCUCACGCAAUGUGAUUUCUACCCAAUGCUCUGAAUGUCAAAGUGAAGAAGUUCAACCAAGCGCGGGUAAACGGUGGGAGUAACUAUGACUCUUUUAAGGUAACCAAAUGUCUCGUCAUCUAAUUAGUGACGCGCAUGAAUGGAUUAACGAGAUUCCCACUGUUCCUGUCUACUAUCCAGUGGAAACCACAGCCAAAAGAAUGGGCUUGGCGGAAUGAAUGGGAAAGAAGACCCUGUUGAGCUUGACUCUAGUCCGACUUUGUGAAAUGAAUUGAGAGGUGUAGGAUAAGUGGGAGCCCCCGGGCGAAAUUGAAAUACCACUACUUUUAACGUUAUUUUACUUAUUCCGUGAAUCAGAGGUGGGGCACGACCCUUUCUUUUGGACCUAAGGCCGACCACGGUUGGUCGAUCUGGGUGAAAGAUAUUGUCAGGUGGGGAGUUUGGCUGGGGUGGUACAUCUAUUAAAAGAUAACGCGGGUGUCCUAAGAUGAGCUCAAUGAGAACAAAAAUCUCGUGUGGAACAAAAGGGUAAAAGGUCAUUUGAUUCUGAUUUCCAAUAUGAAUAUGAAUACGAAUCAUGAAAGCAUGGCCUAUUGAUCCUUUAGACCUUCAGGAUUUGAAGCUAGAGGUGUCAGAAAAGUUACCACAGGGAUAACUGGCUUGUGGCAUCCAAGUGUUCAUAGCAACAUUACUUUUUAAUCCUUCGAUGUCGGCUCUUCCUAUCAUUGUGAAGCAGAAUUCACCAAGUGUUGGAUUGUUCACCCACCAAUAAGGAACUUGAGCUGGGUUUAGACCGUCAUAAGACAGGUUAGUUUUACCCUACUGAUGGUGGUGUCACGAUAGUAAUUCAACCUUGUACGAGAGGAACCAUUGAUUCGCACAAUUGGUCAUCGUGCUCGGUUGAAAAGCCAGUGGUACGAAGCUACCGUGCAUUGGAUUAUUACUGAAUGCCUCUAAGUUAGAAUCUGGGCUAAGAGUGAUGCACGCUCCCACCGCCCGAUUGCCGACCCGUAGUAGGGGCCCAUAGCCCCCAAGGGCACAUGUCGUAGGUGCAGCCAUCAUGGCAGACGAGCUGCACUAGUCUCUUUGGAACUCAAUUC